GGUCUAUGAACCAAACUGCAGGAGCUGACUGGAGAACAGACUGUAAUGAUGGAAGGACACUCAGACCUGUUUCAGUCUCAUAGUCCUUCAGGUGGGAGUACAGAUCCAGCAGGAAACCACUCUGAUAUUCUUCAUAACCCUGUUUGUCAGGAAGAGGGAAUGAUGGAUGUGUGCACACUGAUGAUAACAGCUCCAGUGUCUUCUCUCCUGUCUGCUGCU
Long non-coding RNA from Trematomus bernacchii (emerald rockcod), 219 nucleotides. RefSeq lists it as uncharacterized. The transcript has 3 exons. The record is from RefSeq and is a predicted model, not a curated record. Lineage: Eukaryota; Metazoa; Chordata; Actinopteri; Perciformes; Nototheniidae.